GAUGAACGCUGGCGGCGUGCUUAACACAUGCAAGUCGAACGAAGCAUUUAGGACAGAUUACUUCGGUUUGAAGUUCUUUAUGACUGAGUGGCGGACGGGUGAGUAACGCGUGGGUAACCUGCCUUGUACUGGGGGAUAGCAGCUGGAAACGGCUGGUAAUACCGCAUAAGCGCACAAUGUUGCAUGACAUGGUGUGAAAAACUCCGGUGGUAUAAGAUGGACCCGCGUCUGAUUAGCUAGUUGGUGAGAUAACAGCCCACCAAGGCGACGAUCAGUAGCCGAGCUGAGAGGGUGACCGGCCACAUUGGGACUGAGACACGGCCCAGACUCCUACGGGAGGCAGCAGUGGGGAAUAUUGCACAAUGGAGGAAACUCUGAUGCAGCGACGCCGCGUGAGUGAAGAAGUAAUUCGUUAUGUAAAGCUCUAUAAGCAGGGAAGAUAGUGACGGUACCUGACAAAGAAGCUCCGGCUAAAUACGUG
Molecule: ribosomal RNA, 481 nt
Filed under: uncultured bacterium
Lineage: Bacteria
Description: partial 16S ribosomal RNA
Rfam family: Bacterial small subunit ribosomal RNA
Source: RNAcentral